This 30-nucleotide non-coding RNA is filed under the name Rattus norvegicus (Norway rat). Lineage: Eukaryota; Metazoa; Chordata; Mammalia; Rodentia; Muridae. The record is from RNAcentral.
UGCCAGUGGGCAGCUCCCAUGAUCACUUAA